RNAcentral lists this ribosomal RNA (675 nucleotides) under uncultured Arcobacter sp. RNAcentral describes it as "bacterial SSU rRNA". It matches the Rfam family "Bacterial small subunit ribosomal RNA", at positions 61 to 749 of the family's 1533-position model. The record is from RNAcentral. Lineage: Bacteria; Pseudomonadati; Campylobacterota; Epsilonproteobacteria; Campylobacterales; Arcobacteraceae.
GUCGCACGAGACGGAUUAAGCUUGCUUUAAUCGUCAGCUAAGUGGCGCACGGGUGAGUAAUAUAUAGGUAACAUGCCUUCGAGAAGGGGAUAACGUUUGGAAACGGACGCUAAUACCCUAUAUGCCUUUAAGUCUUAAGACUGCAAGGGAAAUAUUUAUAGCCCGAAGAUGGGCCUGUACAGUAUCAGUUAGUUGGUGAGGUAAUGGCUCACCAAGACAAUGACGCUUAACUGGUUUGAGAGGAUGAUCAGUCACACUGGAACUGAGACACGGUCCAGACUCCUGCGGGAGGCAGCAGUGGGGAAUAUUGCACAAUGGACGAAAGUCUGAUGCAGCAACGCCGCGUGGAGGAUGACACAUUUCGGUGCGUAAACUCCUUUUAUAUAGGAAGAUAAUGACGGUACUAUAUGAAUAAGCACCGGCUAACUCCGUGCCAGCAGCCGCGGUAAUACGGAGGGUGCAGGCGUUACUCGGAAUCACUGGGCGUAAAGAGAAUGUAGGCGGAUAGAUAAGUUUGAAGUGAAAUCCAAUGGCUCAACCAUUGAACUGCUUUGAAAACUGUUUAUCUAGAAUAUGGGAGAGGUAGAUGGAAUUUCUGGUGUAGGGGUAAAAUCCGUAGAGAUCAGAAGGAAUACCGAUUGCGAUGGCGAUCUACUGGAACAUUAUCGACGCUGA